Molecule: long non-coding RNA, 2625 nt
Organism: Lagenorhynchus albirostris (white-beaked dolphin)
Lineage: Eukaryota; Metazoa; Chordata; Mammalia; Artiodactyla; Delphinidae
Exons: 3
Source: RefSeq, a predicted model, not a curated record
GAGCAGCCCAGAGCCCCUUAAUAAACAUACACUGACUUGAUCUCAGGGCCAUGGAGACCUGAGAGGGAGAUGGGGAGAGACCUCAUUCCCUAGGUAAGGCGGACAUCACUACUCAACUCCAACUGAUUGUCACCACAGAGGGAAGACGGAAUUCAGAGCAGAUGAUCAGAACGAAUUUGAUAUCUGUUGAGCCAUAAGCGUGGUUAAUGGAGCCACACAUGCAAAUCACUGUCUCCACCUGCCUCCUGUAUAAUUCAGAAGAGCCAGGACAUCAUCUUACUUCCUUUCACGUGCGGAAUCACCCAAAGGGCCUGCAGCUACUAGCUUCACGCCAGCUGCAGCGAGGAAGGGCCUUAGGCUGAUAAACUCUGAACCAACCCUGAACUAAUAAUAAUAUUAUAACAACUGCUGCUACCGUUACAAGCCAGCUAAUUCCAUGUGGAUAUGGACACGUGUGAUGUCUUGGCCUGUCAGUGCCAAGCCCUGGGAGCUGACACUGGAACAGCUGUGUGGAUAGUCAUAUUCCACUCUGACAUGGGGAAAGAAACGAACCCCUUCAUGGAAACAUCUCCAAAGGAGUUUAAGAUGUGCAUCCUGGUGAGCCUGAAACCAAGGCAAUUUUCUCUUUUCUUGUGUUUUCUCCACCUUUCACCAGGUAACACUAAGACCUCUGCCAUUGUCCAUUACCAGCAACAGCAAUGUGGGUCCAGCCUCAUUGUGGGUCCAAAACCUCAACAUUUUGGUUUUCAUGUGGUACUCACUGUAAAACCUUCUCUGAUGAAUGCAUCUGGCCAUCAUGUGAAGUGGGAAAUAGAAUGGGGAAUGAAUUUCGGCCUUGGGGGAAACUCAAAUAAGGUAAAGUAAUUAAUAUCCUGCUCUACCAUUUGAGUCUCUACAAAGUUGGACCACCCAGCACUUGUUGGUGGAAGGUCUCAGGGAAUUGCAUUUAUAGAAGUGUGAGAUAUGCUGUCUUGACAUGCUAGUAGUCUUCUCCUCAAGGGGAUUUUCAGAUGAUACCCUGAAAAUGUCAAGGAUAUUACAAACAACAGAUAAGUCUGCCACUGGUACAUAAAAAAAUCUGAUUAAGUAUUCAAGCUAAAAUUAUUUUAUUACACAAUUGCUUAUAUUUUAUUUACAUAUCAUAUUUGGAGCUUACCCCAGAUAUUUUAAUAACCAAAGCUGACAUGACCUUGAUAAGGGGUUACUGGAGCAGGUGGGAGAAAGCAGAGGAGAGGAAAGGGUUUUUUUUCCCCCUGGAAGGAGGGGCUACUGAGCACAAGGAUGAUCCCCAUGUUUAGUUUGGCCUCUUCUCUGCAAAUGGGGUCAACUGUGGAGAUGCAGUUGCUGCUGCUGGGACAAAGGUGGAUCAUCCUUGCUGUGCAUUCUGAGUACCAGCGGUCUUCAAUUUGUGUUUCAUAGGACCCUAAGAUUUCAUUACAUGUCUCCAGGGUGUUCAGAGAGUGAAGAACAUGUUUAUUUUGAACCUUCUCUGCCAUCUCUAGGUCCUGUCCUAAAACUGAACCCAAGUAGUGAUGUAAAAACAGUUCUGGAAAGGUUGUCCUUUCCAGAGAUUAUAAAGCUCUAUAUUAGUUCAAAUUUCCUAAGUUCUACCCAAAGUUGAUGUUUGCAUGCGUGAGUAUCAAUGGUAAAGAAUGUUGACGUAAACUGAUAUCACAUUUAUGUUUCAGGGGAAAAAUAGCCCCAUAAUAUCCUGGCUCCUAUAGAGGCCUGCCUUCAGGUGAGUGUCCUAUACCUCUGCAGGAAGUAGUACAGUAAUAGACCACUGUCAUCUGUACAUUCCAAACUCCAGGAAAUUCUAAUAUUGAGCUUGAGAAGGAACACAGAGGCGAGUACAUGGGAUUUAGCGACAAGGCAUAAUUUUCCUGAGAUACAGACAUUUUAAACUCUUCCUCAAACUCAAAAAGGAGUCCUUAGAAGGACUAGAAUAGCAAAACUUUUCAGAGAUAAUAAAUCAAAAAUUGUAAAAUCCAAAUAUAACAAAUGUUCUAAGUAAUUUUAAGCACUGAUGGAAAAAUCAUUUCAAAGCCUAUUAAUAUUAUCAAUUGUUUCUAAGUUAAUACUUAGUAAGAUGACCCAUGGUUAACCCAUGGUGAUAGCUGUUUAUUUUUAUAUGUUUGUGAUUGACAGGUAGAUAUACUUAGAGGUUAAUGUGAGUUUUCUAUCAAAAAAUCAUGUUAUAAAAAUAUAGGACAUGCAUUUUAAAAGUUUGUAAGGAAAUUUUUUUAAAAAGACUUGAAAAAGGAAAAAAAUAAAAUAUCAUUCUUACCUUCAUUGAAUAUGGCCGCUUUUGUUGGAUAAUACCCAUUAUCAUUCUGAGUGUUUGUGAGUAUGGGUUUCCCAGCUCAGGCAAUAAUGUCUAAAUUUAAGAAAUUCAAGUUUAAGUUUCAGUACAAUUACUGACAUUUAGAUAGAAGCAGAAUGAGAUUACUAGAAUGUUAAAGUUAAAAAACAUCUUUCUAAACCAUAUACUGAACUCUUGGCUUAGUUCAUUUACCUAAAAACCAAAAAUAUGAAAAAAUGUACUAAAAAUUAUUCAUAUGUAUCAGCAUGCAUUUCCACCAAUGAACUCUCUUUUGAAAAUAAAAAUCCUUCCCUGGAACUUGA